Molecule: ribosomal RNA, 553 nt
Filed under: uncultured Nitrososphaerota archaeon
Lineage: Archaea; Thermoproteati; Nitrososphaerota
Description: bacterial SSU rRNA
Rfam family: Archaeal small subunit ribosomal RNA
Source: RNAcentral
ACGGGGUGCAGCAGGCGCGAAAACUUUGCAAUGUGCGAAAGCACGACAAGGUUAAUCCGAGUGGUUUCUGCUAAAGAAACCUUUUGUCAGUCCUAGAAACACUGAUGAAUAAGGGGUGGGCAAGUUCUGGUGUCAGCCGCCGCGGUAAAACCAGCACCUCGAGUGGUCAGGAGGUUUAUUGGGCCUAAAGCAUCCGUAGCCGGUUGCAUAAGUUUUCGGUUAAAUCUAUGCGCUCAACGUAUAGGCCGCCGAAAAUACUGUGCAGCUAGGGAGUGGGAGAGGUACACGGUACUCAAUAGGAAGGGGUAAAAUCCUUUGAUCUAUUGAUGACCACCUGUGGCGAAGGCGGUGUACCAGAACACGUUCGACGGUGAGGGAUGAAAGCUGGGGGAGCAAACCGGAUUAGAUACCCGGGUAGUCCCAGCUGUAAACGAUGCAGACUCGGUGAUGCAUUGGCUUGUGGCCAAUGCAGUGCCGCAGGGAAGCCGUUAAGUCUGCCGCCUGGGAAGUACGUACGCAAGUAUGAAACUUAAAGGGAUUGGCGGGGGAGCAC